UGGCCCAUGGGGGAUCGAACCCACUACCUUCGCGUUAUUAGUACGAGACCCUAAUCAACUGAGCUAAUGGGCC
This is a non-coding RNA of Araneus ventricosus, 73 nucleotides long. The record is from the annotation of a GenBank genome assembly. Lineage: Eukaryota; Metazoa; Arthropoda; Arachnida; Araneae; Araneidae.